This 367-nucleotide ribosomal RNA is filed under the name uncultured bacterium. Its description in RNAcentral is "bacterial SSU rRNA". It matches the Rfam family "Bacterial small subunit ribosomal RNA", at positions 137 to 520 of the family's 1533-position model. The record is from RNAcentral.
AGGGGGAUAACGAUUGGAAACGAUCGCUAAUACCGCAUGACAUAGCGGAAUCGCAUGGUUCUGUUAUCAAAGAUUUUAUCGCUGAUAGAUGGGCUCGCGUCCGAUUAGAUAGUUGGUGGGGUAACGGCCUACCAAGUCGACGAUCGGUAGCCGGACUGAGAGGUCGAACGGCCACAUUGGGACUGAGACACGGCCCAGACUCCUACGGGAGGCAGCAGUGGGGGAUAUUGCACAAUGGGGGAAACCCUGAUGCAGCGACGCCGCGUGAGGGAAGACGGUCCUCUGGAUGUAAACCUCUGUCUUCGGGGACGAAACGAGACGGUACCCGAGGAGGAAGCCACGGCUAACUACGUGCCAGCAGCCGCGG